GGACUACCAGGGUAUCUAAUCCCGUUCGCUCCCCACGCUUUCGCGCCUCAGCGUCAGUCGUCGGCCAGGAAGUCGCCUUCGCCACUGGUGUUCGGCCCGGUAUCUACGGAUUUCACCCCUACUCCGGGACUUCCACUUCCCUCUCCGACACUCCAGCACCACAGUCUUCCGCGACCCUCCCCAGUUGAGCCGGGGGCUUUCACACGGAACUUAUGGCGCCGCCUACGCGCUCUUUACGCCCAGUAAUUCCGGACAACGCUCGCCCCCUACGUAUUACCGCGGCUGCUGGCAC
This 292-nucleotide ribosomal RNA is filed under the name uncultured bacterium. RNAcentral's name for it is "partial 16S ribosomal RNA". The record is from RNAcentral.